AAUUUAUUGUAAGAGGAAAAUCCGUCGAAUUUAAAAAUCGUGAGGGUUCAAGUCCCUCUAUCCCCAAA
This 68-nucleotide transfer RNA is filed under the name Veronica intercedens. RNAcentral describes it as "partial tRNA-Leu". Lineage: Eukaryota; Viridiplantae; Streptophyta; Magnoliopsida; Lamiales; Plantaginaceae. The record is from RNAcentral.